AUAAACUGGCAUGUUCUGAAAGAAUCACUCUGGAUGCUGUGUGGAGAAAACACUGAAAAGACACUAUCCUCAGAAAUUAGAUUUGAAAAAUGAGCUUCAUUUUCGAAGAACAUAUUGAAUUUGUUAUCUCGAUUAUGGAGGGCGACAAGUCCCACAGUCUGCCAUCUGCAGGAUGGAGAACCAGCAUGGCAUGGAAGGAACAUGCUCAAAUCCAUCAUUUAAAAAAGAGAACUCCAGCAGCAAUAUGAAUAAUAGAUUGGAAGGGAGAUUAACCAGAUUCAAAGAGGCUUACCUCAUUGAUGCUGAACAUCCUAAAAAGCUUCUGCUGCUUUGAGUCACUGAAAAAGACCAAGAAACAUGAAUUUAAAAAAAAAUUUCAAAUGUUAUAAAAUAAAUAAUAUG
This is a long non-coding RNA of Homo sapiens (human), 402 nucleotides long. Ensembl annotates it as heart tissue-associated transcript 17. Its record names the gene HRAT17. The record is from Ensembl. Lineage: Eukaryota; Metazoa; Chordata; Mammalia; Primates; Hominidae.